This 450-nucleotide ribosomal RNA is filed under the name uncultured bacterium. Its description in RNAcentral is "partial 16S ribosomal RNA". It matches the Rfam family "Bacterial small subunit ribosomal RNA", at positions 338 to 795 of the family's 1533-position model. The record is from RNAcentral.
CCUACUGGGGGCUGCAGUAAGGAAUAUUGGUCAAUGGAGGAAACUCUGAACCAGCCAUCCCGCGUGAAGGAUGAAGGGGCUCUGCCUUGUAAACUUCUUUUGUCUGGGGCGAAAAAGCUCGAUUUAUCGAGAACUGACGGUACCAGAAGAAUAAGCACCGGCUAACUCCGUGCAAGCAGCCGCGGUACUACGGAGGGUGCAAGCGUUAUCCGGAAUCACGGGGUUUAAGGGGGCUUUGGGAGGCAGUGGUGAAAGGCUGGGGCUUAACCAUGGAAUUGCCAUUGAUACUGCAGAGCUUGAAUGAGGUUGAGGUUGGCGGAAUGUGACAUGUAGCGGUGAAAUGCUUAGAUAUGUCAUGGAACACCGAUUGCGAAGGCAGCUGACUGGACCUAUAUUGACGCUGAGGCACGAAAGCGUGGGGAGCGAACAGGAUUAGAUACCCUGGUAGUC